UACGUAGGUGGCAAGCGUUUUCCGGAUUUACUGGGCGUAAAGCGCGCGCAGGUGGCCUGUCGCGUCCGAGGUGAAAUCUCCCGGCUCAACUGGGAGGGGUCUUCGGAUACGGGCAGGCUUGAGGAGAGCAGAGGUAGGCGGAAUUCUGGGUGUAGUGGUGAAAUGCGUAGAUAUCCAGAGGAACACCAGUGGCGAAGGCGGCCUACUGGGCUCCACCUGACACUGAGGCGCGAAAGCGUGGGGAGCGAACCGG
RNAcentral lists this ribosomal RNA (253 nucleotides) under uncultured bacterium. RNAcentral's name for it is "partial 16S ribosomal RNA". It matches the Rfam family "Bacterial small subunit ribosomal RNA", at positions 524 to 776 of the family's 1533-position model. The record is from RNAcentral.